This 131-nucleotide small nucleolar RNA is filed under the name Erinaceus europaeus (western European hedgehog). RNAcentral's name for it is "Small nucleolar RNA SNORA63 (ENSEEUG00000017603.1)". The record is from RNAcentral. Lineage: Eukaryota; Metazoa; Chordata; Mammalia; Eulipotyphla; Erinaceidae.
AGGUCGGGAUAAUUGUUACAGUAUAGCUGUCAAGUGCUAUAUUGUCCCACCCCCUGCUGAAAGUAAGUGUUUCCUACAAUCUCUGUCUAGCUCAGUUCUAUAGUGAGACAGGGACGCUUGGUCUCAAACAU